AUACAUCACCCUGUAUCAAAAAAGAAAAAAAAAAAUACAGUAAAGAUUAGUAUGGCCCCUGUCCAAGGAUGACACACAAAUUUGUAAAAUGUUUCAUAGUUUU
Molecule: small nuclear RNA, 103 nt
Filed under: Colobus angolensis palliatus
Lineage: Eukaryota; Metazoa; Chordata; Mammalia; Primates; Cercopithecidae
Source: RNAcentral